UUCUUCCCGUGAAAACGCGAACGAACGUCGGAUGAUAUAGAGGAGAAAGAAACGCGAGGCCGCGAGAUAGCAGCGUCGAUUAAUCGCGCGGAAUUAAAGUUUUCCCUACGAAUUAUCUCGCACUAAACACACGUUACUCGAUUUCAUACCGGAUAAUCGAUCUCUCCUUCGAUUAAUCCAGUUUCCUCGCUCCACCAUCGAUCCUUGAUGUCCGAUCGGUGCAGGCCAACACUCGCGUCGAUUGACACGCGGCGUGGCACGAUCGAGGCCCAACGCAUCGAUCGAACGUAGUAGAUCGCGCUCGUUAAAUCCGUUAUUGCUAAUCGGCCGAUCGGAUCGGCGUGAUCGACGCAGAUGAGUUACGAAGUUAAGUCCACCGCUGCGGGCAUCGCAGGAUCGUGCACACACGCAGGAGCAUCGUCGAUCAGUUCUUUUUUGCGACCCUGGAUUGCAGCAGGCUGCGACCUCGAGAGAAAAAGUGACUGGAGCAUAAUUUAGAACGGCGAAAAGAGAUCACGAGAUUCCAUGAUCUCCCAAUUAAUUCGCCGGUUAUCUCGGAAAGACCGAGCUAGGAAAAAGCAAGAGGAAAACGAGAGGAAGACAGGAUGUUUCGGCUGACAGAUAACGCGAUCGCUGCUACGACUUUCUAAUCGCGUUCUCGUGGACAGGGUUGGCAACCGUGGAGAUCCUUGCUCCCGGCCAGAUCCCGGAUCUUAUCACGUAGCGGUGUGUCGACGGUAUCGCGUUGACGAGCCAAAAAAUAUAGUCGAUAUAGAGAGGCAGCGAGACGCACGCGGGGAGAUCGAUCGUAACGGGCGUGCACCGUUUCGCGGUCGAUCGUCGAAGGGCGGGAAAGCCUGUUUCGAAAAGGCUGUCACUCAGUUUACGCGAUCAGGAGUUCGAAACCGGUUCGAACGGGCGUUCUGGGUUCGGUUCUGGCCGCGGAGAUCGAACGCACACUGGCAACAGCAACACCGGCAGCACCAACAGCAGCAUCUCUGGCGUAACGGAAGCCGCAAUAGCCGCAUGGAUUCUUGUUUUCGCGUUGCUUCUCCAUUUUUUCUCUCUCGUUCUCUCUAUCACGGUACGCGUUCGGUUCUCCUCCGUUUAUAUCUUUCCCUCUCUGUUCGACUCUGCCGCUUCUCUCCUCUCUCUUUUUCUCCCUACCUUCAUCUCUUUCGUUCUCCUUUUCCCCUCCCCCUCCCGUUUUUCCUAUUUUUUCCUAUUUUUUUUUCUUCUCUUUCUGUUUCCUCUUUUUUUUUUUAUUAUUAUUUUUCCUCGUGUUGCUUCCCUUUGCGCGCAAGCUCGUGCAUAUACGCAUCGGCGGGCGUAGCUCUGCUGCCCGCUCCCUGAUAAAAUCCCACAAAAAUCGAGAAGCCGUUAGCUCUCCGGCUAGCUAUGGUAACCGAGAGGUGGAACCGGUGCUCAAUAUAGAUUCAGGGAGCAGCCUUUACACGGAGUGCAUUCGACGGGAGUCGUUGUUAAUGCUAAAUGAAUUUUAAUCCUCGAUUUUUGGACGUUCGACGGAACGCCCUUUCGACCCACCUCGAUCUCAUCCUCCUCCUCCUCCUCCUCCCUUCUACCCCUCCGCCUAUUUUCUCUCCUUCCCUCUUCGCCACGAUGCCCUUCCAACCUCCCCCUCCCCCUCCACCCACUAUUUUGGAUCCGAUAGAACCCUGGGAUAUGCGAGUAAUUAAAAUAUUAACUAAUCUGCAAUUCCGGAUGGAAAAUCGUGCACAGUGCAUGAACGACCCUGGUGAGUCGAUUGAAUAUUCUUGAUACAUAUUUCGCGGACCUGUCGAUUUCGCAUCUGAUUACCAGGUGCCAGGAUGUUUUAUGUAUAGCAGUUUCCUGUAUAGGGUGUUGCGUUCAAAGCAUUACAGUUUAACCCCUCGCCAUACGAUUUGUUUAAUAGCUAUUUAAGUAGGUUUAAUAGCUAUUUAAGCAAGCUAUUCGGUGUUAUUACAUCGUGUUAAAUAAAGAAUAUCGAAGCAUUAUACAGAAGUUAUGUUUAAUAACUCUUGGCUUCGAGAAGUGCAGUUCAAAUUAUAUUUCACGUUGAUCUUUCUUUUAUAUACACCUUAUCCGUGUUAAAUUGAAACCAUAAUUCGUACUACGGGUUACGUUAGACAUUACAAUACACAGACACGCACAGAUACGCGUAUUUAGGCAGGCAACUAAUAUAUUGUAAAACAAGAUUAUCGAAUUACAAUGAUUAAUAAAAGUGUUACUAGUUAUUUACCAAUUACUUUACUAAUUUUUAUUAUCACGAUGCUCUAGCGACGAAUCUUAAAUUUUAAACGCUUACUCUACGUCAGUUACUGCAUAUCGAUUUCUUCGUACGGGAUGAAACUGAGUAUCGAAACGAAUGUGAAGCAAUGCUGAGCGUGCCGUCAUAUUAUAUUAUUACGAGUCACCGUGUAUAUUAUAUGUAUAAUCACUCAGCAGCAGUAGUCCGUAACACUUUUAAUUUCCCAGCUUGUAUAUGUAAUAAUAGGUUCAAGGGUUUGACGACGCCGAAAAAAGAGCAAACGGACGUGGUUUCCUGGCGGGGAUCGUCUCAAGGGGGCGGCACCGCGCCGCGGCGUGGGUAUUUUUUUUUAACACGCGCGUCAAUUUCGUUUCGCGCAAAUUUUUUCGCCGCUGUACGUACGCGUCGGGCGCGCGUAGUACAUGUACGUACGCGGCAGAGAGACGAGGCAAGUUCGACACGGCAACGGGAGAGAAUGCAUAAGCACGAGGCACGAGUCCAGGCAAGUCGGUUGUGCUCUACGCUUAAACGCGAAAGAAGAGGGCUGCCAAUAGUUGGUUCGCCGGUACAUUCCCGCUCUACAAAGUUAAUUACGUGGCUGACGCUCGUUAGCGAAAAAAUCCAAAGGCGAUAAAUCAUAGUGAUAACUGAAAUACAUUUCUGCUCUGCUAAGCUGGUGGCCGUGGCCGCUGCACAACGAGAACCGAGAAGAAAGAGGAGAAAGGAUGAAACGGGAGGAAAAAAGAAUAGGAAGAAGGAGAAGAAGAAGAGGAGGAGGAGGAAGGUAAAAACGUACGAAGAGCAAAGAAGCAACACCGCCAAUUACUUUCCAACCGACUACUCGAUAAUAUCGUCCCGCGAGCACCGAUACACAACGACCAUUAAUAUUCUAAACGCAAGCCCCGUGUACGCAGCUCGUGUUCUCGAUCCACGCUCGGAUCUGUCUUGGAACGUAAAGCAGAUCCGGCCGGCACGAAUCGUUCGUGUACCACCGGAAAGCCCCCGAGUUAUAACAGUUUACUACGCGGACGAACCACUGGAUUCGAGAUAGUUAGACGCGCGAGCCUAACAAUUUGCGCGCGAUAUCAUAGAUGCCACGCCGGACCACCGUUACAUCCCGUGCUUUACCUACGAUCGCGCUUUUUUAUGUCAUCCUUGGCCAAUUUUUAGAGAAUAGAACGAUUCCCGUUGAACAACCUUCGUCGUCGUGAAUUCUCUAUUUGAUAAGGUAACGAAGGGAAAUGUACGCAAUUAGCGUAGUGUUGGGAAAGCGACGAUGCAACUUUGCAUCGGAGAAGCGUACGUUUUUAGAAGCGAGACAACGGGAAAAUUGGUACAAACGAUUCUGAUAUUUGAAAACAUACAGAUUUUCGUAAUAAAGUUGAAGUUUAGCGGCAAUUUUCCAACUUAGAGACUUUGUCACCCGUACAAAUAUAAUAAAAGUACAAAAUGAUUUGGAGCGUGGCUCGUUAAAUCUGCAUCGACCACGACAAAACAUCCGAUGCAACUGGCAAGCAAAGCAUGCCAAAUUAAUCAUGAAAGCUCAGGAAUCUGGCGUAACAAAUUCAAAUACAGAAACACGUAUAUCAAUUACACGAUCGAGGCAUAGGCUAACGAAGUCCGUGACGGGGAUACGAACUGCAAGGUACGAAAAAUAUCGCCAGAGAGACGAAGGGUUAAAGCGGAAAGAGAGGAGGGAGAGAGUGAGAGAGAGUGAGAGGUUCGGCGAAAGACGAAUAAAGUGACAGAGAGGGCUGAAAGAGAGGGGAGAGGAGAGUGACGUUUCGUGAGAUAAAGGUGAAGGGAGAGAGGGGUGGCAGAGAAGAUAUUCUUGGCAGCGACUGCGAUGCAACAACUGUCCCCAUCCGUCAUCUACGGAGGCAGCGAGAGAGGCCCACGACCACUCGAUGCGUCCCUAGCCGUGCUCUUCAAAUCACGAGAGGGGAAAACUUCUCGUAAUCAUCGAGAUCUCGACUAACGACACCGACAGUCGACUCAUUACGUCGUUAUCGUCGAAAGAAUCUCCGUGGAUCCGCGAGGAAACGGCCCAAACUGUUCGUUUUUCAAAAGUCUUCGAAAUAUUCCGACUCAUUUCACUUUAUGAUAUUAGAUUUCCUUUAUUACACGGUGUAGAAGACAUAGUUCGUUAGAAGAAUAAAAUCUAAAGACUCGUU
This is a long non-coding RNA of Bombus pascuorum, 4425 nucleotides long. RefSeq lists it as uncharacterized. The record is from RefSeq and is a predicted model, not a curated record. Lineage: Eukaryota; Metazoa; Arthropoda; Insecta; Hymenoptera; Apidae. The transcript is spliced from 2 exons.